RNAcentral lists this ribosomal RNA (451 nucleotides) under uncultured bacterium. RNAcentral describes it as "partial 16S ribosomal RNA". It matches the Rfam family "Bacterial small subunit ribosomal RNA", at positions 29 to 523 of the family's 1533-position model. The record is from RNAcentral.
AACGAACGCUGGCGGCAGGCUUAACACAUGCAAGUCGAACGGGCAUAGCAAUACGUCAGUGGCAGACGGGUGAGUAACACGUGGGAAUAUCCCUCUCAGUUCGGAAUAACUCAGGGAAACUUGAGCUAAUACCGGAUACGUCCUUCGGGAGAAAGAUUUAUCGCUGAGAGAUUAGCCCGCGUCUGAUUAGCUAGUUGGUGAGGUAAUGGCUCACCAAGGCGACGAUCAGUAGCUGGUCUGAGAGGAUGAUCAGCCACACUGGGACUGAGACACGGCCCAGACUCCUACGGGAGGCAGCAGUGGGGAAUAUUGGACAAUGGGGGCAACCCUGAUCCAGCCAUGCCGCGUGAGUGAUGAAGGCCUUAGGGUUGUAAAGCUCUUUUGCCAGGGAAGAUAAUGACUGUACCUGGAGAAUAAGCCCCGGCUAACUUCGUGCCAGCAGCCGCAGUAA